RNAcentral lists this ribosomal RNA (504 nucleotides) under uncultured bacterium. Its description in RNAcentral is "bacterial SSU rRNA". It matches the Rfam family "Bacterial small subunit ribosomal RNA", at positions 16 to 507 of the family's 1533-position model. The record is from RNAcentral.
AUCAUGGCUCAGGAUGAACGCUAGCUACAGGCUUAACACAUGCAAGUCGAGGGGCAGCAUCGCGAUAGCUUGCUAUUGCGGAUGGCGACCGGCGCACGGGUGAGUAACGCGUAUCCAACCUUCCCGCAACUGGGGAAUAACCUUGCGAAAGUAAGACUAAUACCCCAUGGUCUCCACGGAUGGCAUCUGAAAUGGAGUAAAGGUUUCGGCUGGUUGCGGAUGGGGAUGCGUCCGAUUAGCUUGACGGCGGGGUAACGGCCCACCGUGGCAUCGAUCGGUAGGGGUUCUGAGAGGAAGGUCCCCCACAUUGGAACUGAGACACGGUCCAAACUCCUACGGGAGGCAGCAGUGAGGAAUAUUGGUCAAUGGGCGGAAGCCUGAACCAGCCAAGUAGCGUGAAGGACGACUGCCCUAUGGGUUGUAAACUUCUUUUAUGCGGGGAUAAAGUUCGCCACGUGUGGCGUUUUGCAGGUACCGCAUGAAUAAGGACCGGCUAAUUCCGUG